RNAcentral lists this non-coding RNA (31 nucleotides) under Rattus norvegicus (Norway rat). The record is from RNAcentral. Lineage: Eukaryota; Metazoa; Chordata; Mammalia; Rodentia; Muridae.
UCCCUGAUUGUACCUGAUACAAAUUACUAAU